AGCAAGCUCGGGUUGGCUAGUCGGCCGU
Molecule: small RNA, 28 nt
Filed under: Bombyx mori (domestic silkworm)
Lineage: Eukaryota; Metazoa; Arthropoda; Insecta; Lepidoptera; Bombycidae
Description: ovarian small RNA-2520
Source: RNAcentral